GCAAAUUUCGGGAAUUUUUCUUUUUAAUAUUCCGUUUCCACAAAAAUUAAUAUUUAAGUAGCAGUUUUCGAUGAGUUUGCUUCAUUUAGCUUUUGAUCAUAAAGUAGUAGUAGCUCUAGAGUGACCAUGGGUACAAUGUGAUUGUGUUUAAGACAUGUGUUCAUCUACCGUGUUGGUUGUUGUUGACGUGAUAACAACCAUAGUUUCAUAUAGUAACCCGAUAGAGACGCUAACUUGGUGAAAAGAAACUGGAGCUGCAACGGCACUUGAAGAUAGGGCUAGUGGCUUUCAGUGGAUGUAUGCUCAAUGUGUGGACGUAAGUCCCUUCAAAUUGUUAAGUUACAUGAAAAAGGAUUUGUGGCUUAUUGAAUGAAAUUGUGUUACUCACAGGUUUUGGGAGAUCCGAGGUGGGGACGAUGCUAUGAGAAUUAGUUGAGUGUGUUUCUAAAUUUGUAUUUUUGUGUGUUUUAGUUGAGUGUGUUAAAUAUAGUAUAUGACUCUAUUAGACAGAGGAGCAAUGUAUUCAUUUUUGUGCAUAUUAUGAUGUUAAAACAUCGAAAAUUGUUUAUGAAAGGCAUCCUAAAGUUCAAAAAAAUCAUUCCUGAAUUUUACACAAUCCUUCCUUUAAGUUCAACACAGUUAAAAUAAAAGUGCUAACAGAAACAAGUGACAUUAUUAUGAUGCAGAUUCAUCAUACAAGUACCAAAACAAUAUCAAAA
Molecule: long non-coding RNA, 719 nt
Filed under: Capsella grandiflora
Lineage: Eukaryota; Viridiplantae; Streptophyta; Magnoliopsida; Brassicales; Brassicaceae
Description: long non-coding RNA (CGRA_LNC001164)
Source: RNAcentral